RNAcentral lists this unclassified non-coding RNA (2275 nucleotides) under Schistocerca americana (American grasshopper). RNAcentral's name for it is "transmembrane protein 183-like, transcript variant X1". Lineage: Eukaryota; Metazoa; Arthropoda; Insecta; Orthoptera; Acrididae. The record is from RNAcentral.
GAAAGCGCGCAGGCGCAGUGUAGCCGCAAUCGCCAUAGUUGGCUUUACUAGGCGUGUGGUGGCAGUCGCGUCCAUUUUAUGAAUAUAGGUAAACGGCAACUGGAUGAGUGUGAACAAAGUGAGCCACUCGACAUGAGUUUGAAUAAACGGGCCCGAGAUGAACCAGUAAUAAAUGAGUCCCUUGACAUGCGUUUGGAGGAAGGGCAAGAUCCAUCACUACAAAAUUGUCCAUUAGAUUUGUCAAUGGGAAAAAGAAAAUCAGAUGGAAUAAUAAAGUCACCAGUCAGCAGUCUACAUGGGUUAAAGAAAACGGAGGCAGUUGUGAAUGAUGAUUUGUCAUUGGGGAUAGAGAAGUCAGAUGGAGUGAGUGUGUCACCAGUCAGUAGCCUGCAAGAGUUAAAAAAAACUGAGAAAACUGUGGGUCUUGAUUUGUCAAUGGGAGGAAGAAAGUCAGCAGUCAGCAGCCUGCGUGGGGUAAAGAAAAGCAACACAACUGUACAGGGUGAAAGGGCUGCGACAUCUGAGGAGGUGAUAAAAAUACCAUGUGUUGUGGAAGAACCUGGAGUUAGAUACCCCCUUGAUGUUUGGUUCCUCAUAGCAGAUUACAUUGUUCCUGAAAGUGUGGGGAAAUUUGCCAGAAUAUGUAAAGAUUCUCUGCAUGUCACUUACACUGCCAUCUUUUGGUGCAAAUUGUUCAAGAGAUACUGCACUGAUGGCCGCAUCACAGAAGCAUCAUUUAAAGUUGUACGGAAACAACGUGGGUUGAGAACUAGGGUGAUACGGUCAUUGCAUCGCAUCUACAAACCGUUGGCGAUGAAAAGAGAAACAGAUUUAAAUCCACCCAUGUUACUGAACAGAUUGAUUAGGAGCCAGUGGGUUGAGAGUAAUAGAAGAGGCACGGAAUGGAUUUACCACUUUGAAUUGUAUGAUUUUUAUAACAAGAGCAGAUGGAAACCAGAAAAGUUUGACGAAUGGUGGAAUGAUAUCACAGUCAAUCAAUCGGCCUACUGUGUAAUGCUAAAGCACGAACAGCUGGUUUUGGAGAAGUGCAAUAAUCAGUAUGAAAUACCAGUUAAAAUCCGAUGUUCAAAUUUUGCUCUACACUUUACGAAUGGAGCAGGAAAGGGAGGAAAUAAUAGUGAUACAAGAAGUAUCGCCACCACACACAAUAACAUCUUCACGAGAAGUGGAGUUGCCAAAACUUCAGGGACUUGUACUGCGAGAGAUUAUCCUUGUCAAAAUGGAAAAUACAAUGACGAAAAUAAAAUGCAUACUCCACUCUUGCCCUAUGUUAACUAAUAAAGAAAAGAAGGUAUUCAUUUUUCAAACAGAAAUGCCAAUACUACGCACAAGGGUUCUGAAUUGGUGGAGCCCUUACUACCCCCGCAAGGCUCACUGUCCCUUGAGGGGUUGAGCACAAUUUGGCUAAAAAUAUCCAGCCUGGAGAGCCAAAUUCUAUCACAGUAUUCAACAGCACAAAAGUGUAAAUUAUCAGUGGUAAUGCUGAUGAGCCCUAAGAUGUUACUCCGUGAUCCACAUUCAGCAUCCAUUCUUGAUAAGUGUUCUCUGAAAGGGCAUUUUUGUUUAAUUGAUCAUUAAAUAUCCCUAGUGAUAAGCUGUUUUCAAAAAUUACAUUUUAAAAACCUGUUAAAAUCUGUGUUACUCCCAUUGUGACUCAUAUAUUUAGAAACAAGAGCACAAAAGCAUAACUUAUCUGUGUUAAUACAAAUAAUCCCAGUGUUGUUCCUGUAGAAUGAUAUUCAUUGAUCGAUGUUCAGCAUCCAUUCUUGAUAAGUGUUCUCUAAAAGGGCAUUUUUGUUUAAUUGAUCAUUAAAUAUCCCUAGUGAUAAGCUGUUUUCAAAAAUUACAUUUUAAAAGCCUGUUAAAAUCGGUGUUACUCCCAUUGUGACUCGUAUAUUUAGAAACAAGAGCACAAAAGCAUUACUUAUCUGUGUUAAUACAAAUGAUCCCAGUGUUGUUCCUGUAGAAUGAUUUUCGUUGAUCGAUGUUCAGCAUCCAUUCUUGAUAAGUGUUCUCUGAAAGGGCAUUUUUGUUUAAUUGAUCAUUAAAUAUCCCUAGUGAUAAGCUGUUUUCAAAAAUUACAUUUUAAAACUCUGUUAAAAUCUGUGUUACUUUGUUACUCCCAGUGGACACGUAUAUUUAGAAAAGAUAUAUAAAACAUGUAAUAAUGUUUCAAGAUAAAUGUUGAUAUGUACUGCAGUUGAUUCUAGAAUGUGUAUCAGAAGAUAAUAAAACAAUAAAUAUAUGUAUUCCA